AGAGUUUGAUCCUGGCUCAGGACGAACGCUGGCGGCGUGCUUAACACAUGCAAGUCGAGCGGAAAGGCCCUUCGGGGUACUCGAGCGGCGAACGGGUGAGUAACACGUGAGCAAUCUGCCUUGGCUUCGGGAUAGCUCCGGGAAACCGGAAUUAAUACCGGAUAUGACUGUGGCCGGCAUCGGCUGUGGUGGAAAGUUUU
RNAcentral lists this ribosomal RNA (200 nucleotides) under uncultured bacterium. Its description in RNAcentral is "partial 16S ribosomal RNA". It matches the Rfam family "Bacterial small subunit ribosomal RNA", at positions 8 to 211 of the family's 1533-position model. The record is from RNAcentral.